Ornithorhynchus anatinus (platypus) is the source of this 138-nucleotide non-coding RNA. The record is from Rfam. Lineage: Eukaryota; Metazoa; Chordata; Mammalia; Monotremata; Ornithorhynchidae.
GUCCUCUCAGGGUCACACCUGGAGAGUUUCCAGUACUCUAUCAGUCUUGGCUACGGAAGGGAGAGUCAAGCAGAGGCCUACCCAUUCCCUUUCUAGCUUGGCCAGUGGCUAGUGGACGGAAGGCAAUCUGCUACAAGU